GAUGAACGCUGGCGGCGUGCCUAAUACAUGCAAGUCGAGCGAACAGACGAGGAGCUUUCUCCUCUGACGUUAGCGGCGGACGGGUGAGUAACACGUGGAUACCCUCCCUAUAAGACUGGGAUAACUUCGUGAAACCGGUGCUAAUACCGGAUAAUAUAUUGCACCGCAUGGUUCAAUAGUGAACGACGGUUUUGCUUUCACUUAUAGACUGAUCCCCGCCGCAUUAGCUAGUUGGUAAGGUAACGGCUUACCAAGGCAACGAUGCGUAGCCGACCUGAGAGGGUGAUCGGCCACACUGGAACUGAGACACGGUCCAGACUCCUACGGGAGGCAGCAGUAGGGAAUCGUCCGCAAUGGGCGAAAGCGUGACGGAGCAAAGCCGCGUGAGUGAUGAAGGUCUUCGGAUCGUAAAACUCUGUUAUUAGGGAAGAACAAAUGUGUAAGUAACUAUGCACGUCUUGACGGUACCUAAUCAGAAAGCCACGGCUAACUACGUG
RNAcentral lists this ribosomal RNA (497 nucleotides) under uncultured bacterium. RNAcentral describes it as "partial 16S ribosomal RNA". It matches the Rfam family "Bacterial small subunit ribosomal RNA", at positions 28 to 507 of the family's 1533-position model. The record is from RNAcentral.